CAGUCGCCGCGGGAAUACGAAGGGGGCUAGCGUUGUUCGGAUUUACUGGGCGUAAAGGGCGCGUAGGCGGACUGAUAAGUCAGGGGUGAAAUCCCAAGGCUCAACCUUGGAACUGCCCUUGAUACUGUUUGUCUUGAGUUCGAGAGAGGUAAGUGGAACUGCGAGUGUAGAGGUGAAAUUCGUAGAUAUUCGCAAGAACACCAGUGGCGAAGGCGGCUUACUGGCUCGAUACUGACGCUGAGGCGCGAAAGCGUGGGGAGCAAACAGGAUUAGAUACCCCAGUAGUCCCUGUCUCUUAUAC
Molecule: ribosomal RNA, 301 nt
Filed under: uncultured bacterium
Lineage: Bacteria
Description: partial 16S ribosomal RNA
Rfam family: Bacterial small subunit ribosomal RNA
Source: RNAcentral